This is a regulatory RNA element of Erythrobacter sp., 55 nucleotides long. It matches the Rfam family "terC RNA". Lineage: Bacteria; Pseudomonadati; Pseudomonadota; Alphaproteobacteria; Sphingomonadales; Erythrobacteraceae. The record is from Rfam.
CCCGCGUACCGGGCCCCUCUGGCGAGCCGCAAGGCUCGUGAUGUCGGACGCUGCA